This 62-nucleotide transfer RNA is filed under the name Sirex nitobei. RNAcentral describes it as "tRNA-Pro". The record is from RNAcentral. Lineage: Eukaryota; Metazoa; Arthropoda; Insecta; Hymenoptera; Siricidae.
GAAAUAGUUUAUUUAAAACAAUAAUUUUGGAGAUUAUAGAUAUAAUAAAUUAGUUUAUUUUU